This 106-nucleotide non-coding RNA is filed under the name Lacticaseibacillus thailandensis. RNAcentral describes it as "Lactobacillus thailandensis THF-I sequence". It matches the Rfam family "THF (Tetrahydrofolate) riboswitch aptamer". Rfam says of the family: THF riboswitch presents a pseudoknot that joins P1-P2 and the loop of P3 and two THF binding. RNAcentral also lists the same sequence under 1 other name. Lineage: Bacteria; Bacillati; Bacillota; Bacilli; Lactobacillales; Lactobacillaceae. The record is from RNAcentral.
UAAGGAGUAGGUACAUACGCGUUAAGUGCUGGUGGAACGGAAUGUGAACACCGGACGAAGCCGCUACCGUGGGGUAGAGCGCGAUGUAUGCACCGCAUUCGUCUUA